RNAcentral lists this ribosomal RNA (253 nucleotides) under uncultured bacterium. RNAcentral describes it as "partial 16S ribosomal RNA". It matches the Rfam family "Bacterial small subunit ribosomal RNA", at positions 524 to 776 of the family's 1533-position model. The record is from RNAcentral.
UACGUAGGUGGCGAGCGUUGUCCGGAUUUAUUGGGUUUAAAGGGUGCGUAGGCGGCUUAUUAAGUCAGUGGUGAAAUAUCGCAGCUUAACUGUGAGGGUGCCAAUGAUACUGAUGAGCUUGAGUGAAGUCGAGGUAGGCGGAAUUGACGGUGUAGCGGUGAAAUGCUUAGAUAUCGUCAAGAACACCAAUAGUGAAGACAGCUUACUAGGCUUGAACUGACGCUGAGGCAAGAAAGUGUGGGGAUCAAACAGG